AUCUGGAUAGCUUAAAUAUAAAGCACAUCCCUGAAGAGGAUAUGAUGAGUCACUCUCUAGAUA
Molecule: transfer RNA, 63 nt
Filed under: Perionyx excavatus (compost worm)
Lineage: Eukaryota; Metazoa; Annelida; Clitellata; Crassiclitellata; Megascolecidae
Description: tRNA-Phe
Source: RNAcentral